Dermacentor albipictus is the source of this 324-nucleotide non-coding RNA. Lineage: Eukaryota; Metazoa; Arthropoda; Arachnida; Ixodida; Ixodidae. The record is from RefSeq and is a predicted model, not a curated record.
UCCGCUUGUGGUUAUUUAGGUACAACUCGCGGGGGGCGUCUCGUACAACAGCGGGGGGCGUCUCGUGUCAUGUUGGCUGCAGCGGUGGAGCGCAUCGUGCACGAAGGCCUGAACGGUCUUCUGUUUUACAGUGAGGAGGACUGGAGUCGGCGCAUAUCCAGCGAUGUCCUCCAAGAUCAACUCCUGGCCGUCCGGAGAGCUCACGACAUCGGGAAAGCCUUUGGCCUACCGGUGCCUACGUGGGCGGAGCCACCAACAUAGCCCGGGGGCUUGUGCCCUCGGACCCUAGUUUCUCUGGACUAAAAUAAAGUUCUUGCCAUGCCA